Molecule: ribosomal RNA, 270 nt
Filed under: uncultured prokaryote
Description: partial 16S ribosomal RNA
Rfam family: Bacterial small subunit ribosomal RNA
Source: RNAcentral
UACGUAGGGGACGAGCGUUGUCCGGAAUUACUGGGCGUAAAGGGCGCGCAGGCGGAUAUUUAAGUCAGCUGUUAAAGUCAUGGGCUCAACUCAUGGAUGCGGUUGAAACUGGGUAUCUAGAGUGCUGGAGAGGUAGGCGGAAUUCCCGGUGUAGCGGUGAAAUGCGUAGAUAUCGGGAAGAACACCAGUGGCGAAGGCGGCUUACUGGCCAGCAACUGACGCUGAGGCGCGAAAGCCAGGGGAGCGAACGGGAUUAGAUACCCGUGUAGU